AAAAGAAACCAACAGGGAUUGCCCCAGUAACGGCGAGUGAAGCGGCAACAGUUCAGAUUUGAAAUCUGGCCCCCGAGUUGUAAUUUGGAGAGGAUGUAUUGCCCCAGUACCGGCGAGUUCCCUGGAACGGGACGCCAGAGAGGGUGAGAGCCCCGUACGGCGGGACGCCGCGCCUCUGCGAAGCUCCUUCGACGAGUCGAGUAGUUUGGGAAUGCUGCUCCAAACGGGAGGUAAAUUUCUCCUAAAGCUAAAUACCGGCCGGAGACCGAUAGCGCACAAGUAGAGUGAUCGAAAGAUGAAAAGCACUUUGAAAAGAGGGUCAAACAGUACGUGAAAUUGUUGAAAGGGAAGCGCCCGUGGCCAGACUCGCGCCCCGCGGACCACCCGGCGGACUCCGCCGGGGCACGCCGCGGGGCGCGGGCCAGCAUCGGCCCCCGCAGGGGGACAAGGGCGGCGGGAACGUGGCUCCUCUGGGAGUGUUACAGCCCGCCGCGCCAUGCCCCUGGGGGGGCCGAGGA
This 518-nucleotide ribosomal RNA is filed under the name Dryadomyces sulphureus. Its description in RNAcentral is "eukaryotic LSU rRNA". It matches the Rfam family "Eukaryotic large subunit ribosomal RNA", at positions 57 to 592 of the family's 3401-position model. The record is from RNAcentral. Lineage: Eukaryota; Fungi; Ascomycota; Sordariomycetes; Ophiostomatales; Ophiostomataceae.